Molecule: ribosomal RNA, 376 nt
Filed under: Rhodococcus sp. P2(2005)
Lineage: Bacteria; Bacillati; Actinomycetota; Actinomycetes; Mycobacteriales; Nocardiaceae
Description: bacterial SSU rRNA
Rfam family: Bacterial small subunit ribosomal RNA
Source: RNAcentral
GAACGGGUGAGUAACACGUGGGUGUAUCUGCCCUGCACUUCGGGAUAAGCCUGGGAAACUGGGUCUAAUACCGGAUAUGACCUUCGGCUGCAUGGCUGAGGGUGGAAAGGUUUACUGGUGCAGGAUGCGCCCGCGGCCUAUCAGCUUGUUGGUGGGGUAAUGGCCUACCAAGGCGACGACGGGUAGCCGACCUGAGAGGGUGACCGGCCACACUGGGACUGAGACACGGCCCAGACUCCUACGGGAGGCAGCAGUGGGGAAUAUUGCACAAUGGGCGAAAGCCUGAUGCAGCGACGCCGCGUGAGGGAUGACGGCCUUCGGGUUGUAAACCUCUUUCAACAGGGACGAAUCGAAAGUGACGGUACCUGCAGAAGAA